This is a non-coding RNA of Chelonoidis abingdonii (Abingdon island giant tortoise), 165 nucleotides long. Lineage: Eukaryota; Metazoa; Chordata; Testudines; Testudinidae. The record is from RefSeq and is a predicted model, not a curated record.
GCCGACAAUAAACCUGGCCUGGUGCCUUCGCAUCUUAAUGGAUCUUGUGGUCAUCGGGUGGUUUGCUCGAGGUCUGCUGUGCUGGCUGUCUGCACAGAGCUGAGACAGCACACAGGAAAAACACACACAUGCAGCCAAACGUCUAACCACAGGAGUGCUUCCAGG